Molecule: ribosomal RNA, 497 nt
Filed under: uncultured bacterium
Lineage: Bacteria
Description: partial 16S ribosomal RNA
Rfam family: Bacterial small subunit ribosomal RNA
Source: RNAcentral
GAUGAACGCUGGCGGCGUGCCUAAUACAUGCAAGUCGAGCGAACGGACGAGAAGCUUGCUUCUCUGAUGUUAGCGGCGGACGGGUGAGUAACACGUGGAUAACCUACCUAUCAGACUGGGAUAACUUCGGGAAACCGGAGCUCAUACCGGAUAAUAUUUUGAACCGCAUGGUUCAAAAGUGAAAGACGGUCUUGCUGUCACUUAUAGAUGUAUCCGCGCUGCAUUAGCUAGUUGGUAAGGUAACGGCUUACCAAGGCAACGAUGCAUAGCCGACCUGAGAGGGUGAUCGGCCACACUGGAACUGAGACACGGUCCAGACUCCUACGGGAGGCAGCAGUAGGGAAUAUUCCGCAAUGGGCGAAAGCCUGACGGAGCAAAGCCGCGUGAGUGAUGAAGGUCUUCGGAUCGUAAAACUCUGUUAGUAGGGAAGAACAUAUGUGUAAGUAACUGUGCACAUAUUGACGGUACCUAAUCAGAAAGCCACGGCUAACUACGUG